GAUGCACGCUGGCGGCGUGCCUAAUACAUGCAAGUCGAACGAAACUUCUUUAUCACCGAGUGCUUGCACUCACCGAUAAAGAGUUGAGUGGCGAACGGGUGAGUAACACGUGGGCAACCUGCCCAAAAGAGGGGGAUAACACUUGGAAACAGGUGCUAAUACCGCAUAACCAUAGUUACCGCAUGGUAACUAUGUAAAAGGUGGCUAUACUACCGCUUUUGGAUGGGCCCGCGGCGCAUUAGCUAGUUGGUAGGGUAAAGGCUUACCAAGGCAAUGAUGCGUAGCCGAAUUGAGAGGUUGAUCGGCCACAUUGGGACUGAGACACGGCCCAAACUCCUACGGGAGGCAGCAGUAGGGAAUCUUCCACAAUGGGCGAAAGCCUGAUGGAGCAACGCCGCGUGGGUGAAGAAGGUCUUCGGAUCGUAAAACCCUGUUGUUAGAGAAGAAAGUGCGUGAGAGUAACUGUUCACGUUUCGACGGUAUCUAACCAGAAAGCCACGGCUAACUACGUG
RNAcentral lists this ribosomal RNA (512 nucleotides) under uncultured bacterium. RNAcentral's name for it is "partial 16S ribosomal RNA". It matches the Rfam family "Bacterial small subunit ribosomal RNA", at positions 28 to 507 of the family's 1533-position model. The record is from RNAcentral.